RNAcentral lists this ribosomal RNA (272 nucleotides) under uncultured prokaryote. RNAcentral's name for it is "partial 16S ribosomal RNA". It matches the Rfam family "Bacterial small subunit ribosomal RNA", at positions 524 to 796 of the family's 1533-position model. The record is from RNAcentral.
UACGGAGGGUGCAAGCGUUGUCCGGAUUUAUUGGGUUUAAAGGGUGCGUAGGCGGCUUAUUAAGUCAGGGGUGAAAGACUGCAGCUCAACUGUAGCAGUGCCUUUGAUACUGAUGAGCUUGAGUACAGAUGAGGCUGGCGGAAUGGGUGGUGUAGCGGUGAAAUGCAUAGAUACCAUCCAGAACACCGAUUGCGAAGGCAGCCGGCUAAACUGUAACUGACGCUGAGGCACGAAAGCGUGGGGAUCGAACAGGAUUAGAAACCCUGUAGUCC